This 67-nucleotide ribosomal RNA is filed under the name uncultured Clavariaceae. Its description in RNAcentral is "partial 5.8S ribosomal RNA". It matches the Rfam family "5.8S ribosomal RNA", at positions 49 to 115 of the family's 154-position model. From Rfam's summary of the family: 5.8S ribosomal RNA (5.8S rRNA) is a component of the large subunit of the eukaryotic ribosome. Lineage: Eukaryota; Fungi; Basidiomycota; Agaricomycetes; Agaricales; Clavariaceae. The record is from RNAcentral.
CGAAUUGCGAUAUGUAAUGUGAAUUGCAGAAUUCAGUGAAUCAUCGAAUCUUUGAACGCAUAUUGCA